GAAAACAUAAUAUGUUUCUAAAUCUAAUUUUUUCAUUUUGCCUCUCCAAUUUCAGUUCCGAGGUUUUAUUCACGUUCAUUUGCGCAAAUCCCUAAUUUUUCUUUCCUUUCUUUACAGUCUCUCUGCAUCAUCUCUUCGACCGGUCUCUUCCUUAAUUUCUCAUCCCUUCGAGCGAAGAGGCGAAGCUAGUGGGGGAUAGCGAAAUCACGCAAUGGUGGUGGCUCGUGGCUGUUUUCGGUGGUGGAAUUCGCGAUUUGGGCGAAAGGUGUAGCGGUGGUGGAGCGAACUCGACGGAGUUACAACGGUAAUUGCGGGUCGAAGAAGGAGGCGUUGCGUUGGCAGUGUCUACACCUGCGACGACUCCAGGAUCUACCGGUGGUGAACUUGAAAGUUGCUCCAUCUCCCUGGCAAAAAAUUUCGCGAUUUCUCCGACAUUCGCCAGGAAAUUCAGUUUUUCCAAUCUCCUCAUGCUUCACUGAGAAAGCUAUCACUUGGUUCUGUAAAUCAAUACAUUAUGUUAAUGCCUUCUUUGCUAUUCAUGACUAGGUUUGUGCGGCAUUUGUUCACCUAAUUGAAGUCCGUCCAUCUUUCUUGGAGCCACAUUUAAGGAAUGUGANUGAACACAUGUUACAAGUCAACAAGGACACAGAUGAAGAAGUAGCCCUCGAAGCCUGUGAAUUUUGGGGAGUGGCUUAUUUGCAUGAAAAUAUGCCAUCACCCAUUAUUCACCGUGAUCUUGAACCUUCUUUCAAGGUAAAAAAAAAGAAGCUUUAUUGGGAAUGAUAUAUUUGAGAUCCUCAGUACUCGAGCUCGCAAGAAAGUAGAAAUUGAAGAUAUAAAUGUUAAUGUCUGUGUAUUUGCUUUUGAUUUGUUGCAUCUAAAUGGCCUAGAACUUCUUUAGGAAAACCUUGGAGUCCGCAGAGAGGUUUUGGAGAAGAUGGUUCCCUUGUAUGGGUGGAGGGAAAUGCUGAAAGCUUGAGUUUCCAAAAUGAUUCAAUGGAUGGUUAUACUAUUAUGAUUCAAUGGAUGGUUAUACUACUGCACUUGGGAUAAGAAAUGUCACACACAUAGUUAUUUCUUUUAUUUUAAGUGUUAGUAAAUUGUAGAAACUUGACUACAAUGUAGUGUAGGUUAAUGUUAUAGUUGGAUUUAAUAUAUGGUUUGAUGUACAAAUUAUGUAUUAAAUAUUAUUACCCAAUUUAAUGUUUGAAAUGAAUUUCAUUAUGUCAAUUUA
RNA transcript from Vigna radiata var. radiata (mung bean), 1234 nucleotides. It is a transcript of the gene named transportin-1-like, with no coding region annotated. The record is from RefSeq and is a predicted model, not a curated record. The transcript has 8 exons. NCBI's taxonomy places the organism in Eukaryota, Viridiplantae, Streptophyta, Magnoliopsida, Fabales, Fabaceae.